RNAcentral lists this long non-coding RNA (982 nucleotides) under Heterocephalus glaber (naked mole-rat). RNAcentral's name for it is "lncRNA (ENSHGLG00000037086.1)". Lineage: Eukaryota; Metazoa; Chordata; Mammalia; Rodentia; Bathyergidae. The record is from RNAcentral.
GCUGAUUCUCUCUGUCUCCGGCUCCUGGACCAACCUUCCAGAGUCCGGUAGCUGCACAGCCCCAGAUCAUCCGGCCACGGACUGAUCCGGGAGGCCAGAAAGCCGGCAAGACGGAAUUGCCCGUCUUGGACGGUGCCGGCAGCGGACCGUCUGGGCGUCGGUUUGUGUCACUGGCAACCAUCACUCGCACUUAAACCGGGCCCAGGUGCCCAUAGAAGGCAGAAAUGGUGGACACGGAUCGCUCUCAAGGAUGCUCCGCUCCGAGCCCGUCACCUAGGAUCAUCUGGGCUGUUUCUGCUGUCCGGGGACGCCGCCGUGGAAGCGAUUCGGCAGGGCGCUCGCCACCAACCGCUCUCCAAGUUUGUGCUGAAUGGAGGCAAAAGGUUGGCUUUUCGCUUGCGGGGUGGUGGAAGGAAGCAGAACUUUGAUGACACUUCUCGGUCGGCUCUUGGCGUGUCUGUGACUGCCUUCGCUGAGAGGUGCGCUGCGGGUGUCCGGCGAGGAAGAAAGAAGGGUUCGCAGCGCGCGGGGCCUGGGCGUGGAGGUGCGCUUUGCGGCUCCGCUCCGCCCCGGGCUGCAGGGCCUGGACGGUUUCUGUUCAGUAGGGUGUGUGUUACGAGCGUGGAUAGGACAGAGAUCCAGACACAAAGACAGACAAGGCAUCAGUUACUGCAGUGGGCUGGAUCUGUGUGAACUCCGAGAGCGAGAUUCGGUAACUGGGUGCAGCUGGUGCGUGUGGCUCGGUGCACAUCGGAGUCUGUGCGUUCGAGGCUUGUGUGCGGAACUGGUUGUCCACGUGUUUCGACUGGGGUUGCCCGCGCUUGUGCCUCGGACGCUCUCUGACACCCACCCCUAGAAGUCCUUCCUGAUGUCUGUGUGCCUGGGAGCUCACGCCAAAUCUGCCCUUCAGCCUUCAUAGUGGCACACAGAGAACACAGACUGCCAACAAGAGAGAUGUGGAGUUUAGAGAAACGAUUUCAGA